AAUCUUAUAUAUAGUCGGGGAAACCAUAAAUGUAUACGAAUUAGCUUGGUACAACAACAUACAUAGUAAAUACAACUAACUAGUAUUGCAGGACGUAUGAUAAGAAUUACUCCCUUUGUUCCUAAAUAUAAGACAUUCUGGUAGUUCCAUUGAAUACAUGGUGAAAUAAUGAAACCUUUGUAAGCAUCUAAGAAAGGGCCACCACAUUCAGAAACAAAGAAGAAUUGGACAAACCUAGUGCAAAUGAUUAUUUCUUGUGGAGUGCAUGACAUUCAUGGGACGAAUGUUGACAAGGAUUAUAAUUAGUUGCAAAAUAAAUAAGGUCUAAAAGGAAAAUCUCAGAGUCGGGACAACAUAAUUAAUAGUAACAUCAUGUAUAUCAUGAAAGAAACAAAGUAUUAGAAAGAAAGUGAUAACUGAUCACCGGUUCAAAAAGUGAAUCAAGUGUUUCUAAAGGUGUGACCCAUAAAGAAAAGCUGCGAACCAACACAGAGUUUUUAAAUUACCAUGGAAGAUCGAUCUCAAAGGAGCCAUAUGUUUUGCAAUGAUGGAAGUGAAACAUCAACAAUACCUUGCAACACCUAAAAGGAAUCCUGCAAGUCAUCAUGCUCAUCAAACCUUGAGUAGCAAAAGUGUGAGUAAAAUAAGGAAAUGCACAAUUGAAAAUUGGUUGUGAGAAUCAUUGUUGACGUAACCUAAUUUUUGAUCUCACUUCUAAUUUUUUUAUACAAGGAGAUCGUAUCAUUGUGGUAGAUUUGCAAAAUUGCAUGGCAAAUACAAAAUAAGUAAUGUAGAAAUCUUAUGAGAUAUCGGUGUGAAACGAUAUAACAAUAUCCUCUGCACCUUUGAUGUGGAACCUCACUAAUACCUUGCGACACCUAGUGGGAAGAUGCAUGCAAAUCAUCAUGCUCUUCAAAUCCCGAGUAGUGGGGUAUUAUCAAAAGAAAAGCAUGGAAAAGCUAAUGCAAAAACUAUGACUCAUAAUUUGAUCCUUCUUGCAAAUAAUGUUCUCAUCUGAGCCUCCAUAUCAAUCAUGUCCAUCUACAACUUUGUAAUGAAUAGUCUUGUUUGAUGUUUCAACCAAAGGAUGUUCAACAAUAUGUUUACACUAUUUGGUUCAGCAAAUAAAUAAUGGAGAAAAUAAAGACAAAAUCUGCAUAUAAUAAUAAAAAAUACUAACAUCAUUGAGAUGAGACUGAUGCAAAGAAAUUGUUGCAUACUUCCUGCUCACUUGCCGACAUGCAAUCUCAUACAAGAAGCAUUGUACAUCACCCAUCAAGUGACAAAACAAAAAUUCAAAGACCUCAUUAUGAAUUAACAGGCGGGACUUACAAUCAACAUCUUAUUGUCCAAUUACAGUUUAAAAACAUCUUAUUGUCCAACUCAAGAUAGAAAAUCAAGUCCAAGAAACAACAUAUGUAUGCUCAUUUUCUUUGUUUAAGAAAUAAUACUUAUAUGCUUUCAAAACUAGAGAAGAGAUAUAUAGCCUACCACAGUUGUGAAUAUAGACAAUAU
RNAcentral lists this long non-coding RNA (1515 nucleotides) under Triticum aestivum (bread wheat). Its description in RNAcentral is "long non-coding RNA (TAES_LNC020544)". The record is from RNAcentral. Lineage: Eukaryota; Viridiplantae; Streptophyta; Magnoliopsida; Poales; Poaceae.